AACACGUAAAGAACCUGCCUCAUAGACUGGGACAACUAUUGGAAACGAUAGCUAAUACCGGAUAACAGCAUUAACUGCAUGGUUGAUGUUAAAAGUUGGUUUUGCUAACACUAUGAGAUGGCUUUGCGGUGCAUUAGCUAGUUGGUGGGGUAAAGGCCUACCAAGGCGACGAUGCAUAGCCGACCUGAGAGGGUGAUCGGCCACACUGGGACUGAGACACGGCCCAGACUCCUACGGGAGGCAGCAGCG
This 249-nucleotide ribosomal RNA is filed under the name uncultured Gemella sp. Its description in RNAcentral is "partial 16S ribosomal RNA". It matches the Rfam family "Bacterial small subunit ribosomal RNA", at positions 112 to 356 of the family's 1533-position model. The record is from RNAcentral. Lineage: Bacteria; Bacillati; Bacillota; Bacilli; Caryophanales; Gemellaceae.